Molecule: long non-coding RNA, 3302 nt
Organism: Mirounga angustirostris (Northern elephant seal)
Lineage: Eukaryota; Metazoa; Chordata; Mammalia; Carnivora; Phocidae
Exons: 3
Source: RefSeq, a predicted model, not a curated record
AACCGCUCGACUGGGCAAAGGCUACCAUUACCAUUUUUCAGGCUUGCAGAGGUCAGUCACUUAGCACACAGCUAAUACAUGGUAAAGCCAAGCCCAGGACCCGGAUCCGACUCCAGAGCUUGUAACUCAACAGGCACCAGUCCAUCUGCCUGCCUCGUCAGCACAUGAACUCCCCGCAGAAAGCAGCAAAAUCAAAACUUGAAAACCACAUUCUGAUCCAAACACGUGAUGGAUGGACAUUUGCAAUAACCAAUAUUUACUGAGCACCUGCUAUGCUCCAGACAGUCAGAAAACAAAAGGGUGAAAGACCUCUGCCACCAAGCAACAUUCCUUCCGGAGGGGAAAAGGAACAUGUCAAUAAGUAAUUAUAAUUCAGUGUGAUAGAUCUUGUGAAUGGCAAAGGACAAGUCGCUGAGGGAACCCACAGGGGCCUGGAGGGAUCUGGAAGGCCUCCCAGAUGAGCGGGCAUUUGAAUGGUUCCUGAGACAUGACUGUGUCUGCCAGACAGAUGAUAGGGAAGUCAGCGCUCUGGGCAGAAGAUACAGCAGGGCUAUGGCUCAGAGAUGUGACUGGAGCAAUGCCCCGGAGAGCCAGCAGGAAUGUCAAGGAGGCUGGGAUGCAGGGGACUGCGGGAGAGAGCCUGGGAGCUUGGGGCAGGGAGCCUGGAGAGGUCAGCAGAGGAGGGACCAGGAAGGACUGUGUCUGCCAGGCCGAGGGGUUUCCAUUUAUCCCAAAGGCAGUGGAGAGUGUUACAAGCUGCUGAGCAGAGGAACAGUGACUUGAGCAGGUUAUUUCGAGGGUUCCCUGAUGGCCAGCUGGGGUCUCAGCAGGCAGCCGGGAGCAGGAGGAUGCAGGAGGACAAGAGGCAGGGGCACCCUUUGGGAGGCAGCAGUCUGGAGAGUGGCAAAGAGCAGAGUGCAGGAAAACCGCCAGCCUUGGAGGGCUCUGGCUGAUCCCUGGGCAUGGAGUGGACAGUGAGACACUCCUCUGUGCGGGGAAGAAUGUGGAGUGAGGGUGGGAGAAAGCCUCAGCUUUGCACUCGUGGAACUGAAUGGGCCACAGUCAUUCGGGUCAAGAUCUGGGAAGAAAUGAUCUGCAGCUCCCGAGAAAGGAGAGAGAGGAGGGUGGAGGCGCGGGUGGGUCAGGGGGCCAGAGAGGGUGCAAGCACACAGAGGGGAGGGUUCGGGGUGAGGCCCGAGGAGCCCCUCACCCACAGGCAGCCCCAGGAAGUGGAAGAAAAUGGACUAAAAACAAGGAGAGGGCCGGCCGCUGUGUCCCGCGCCUCAUGGCCCAGAGCAAGAGAAGAGCAGCCGGACCUCUGGGGCCCGAGCUGCAAGUCACUCACGCACUCAGCAAACAUCAACCAGGGCCUCCCAGGAGCAGAGCAACUUGGAAGUGACUUUCCUGGAAGACUUCCUGACCAGGAAAUCCUCCACACCCAGAGGGGCCCCAAACCUGCUGCAUAAAAAUAGGAAUCCCAAGAAAAAAAGGAAGAGGAGCAAGAGAAGAAGAGAAAAACACUGACAUACCCUCAGACAAGGUCAGGGAAGCAUCUAUGGCCUUUUAAACAUUUGUCUUUCCGGCUUCUUACUGUUCAUCCUUUUCACGGGGACACGGGGCACAGGUGGCUGAAGGACUGACCAUGUCUGGGGUUCAGAGUGUCACAACAAAGAGGCAGAGGUUCACCCAGAAGUUAGGUCAGCCAAGGACUCAGCUGUCCCCUUUGUUGCCAGCACCCCCCUGGCCGGCCCCCCGCCCCCCCAGCAGAGCGGAGUGGCCAGGACUCAGGCUCACAUGCUUGGGAAGGGUGGAGGAGGAGCUGUGGGAGAUGCACCGGGCACCCAGCCCUCAUCCCCAGCAUCCUGUGGUCCACCCUCGGAAUUGUGCUUUCUCAAUCCCACUGGAGAACUGACCCCUGGCCCUGCCCCCGAGUGAGUCAGCUGCUUCCAAACGCCCAUGGCACUUAGGCUGUUGUUGAAACUACCUUCUGCCUUGUGGUGUGGCUAUUUUGGUAACUAGGGUCACCAUCCACAUCGUCACCACUAUUUACUGAGCACUCACCAAGUGCCAGGCCCUGAGCUAAACACUUGGUAUAAUUACCAUACUUAAUCUUGACAUUAGUACCCCGGGCUCGGAGAAGUAAAGUAACUUGCCCUGGGACACACAGCUCAUGAACACCAGCUGGGAUCCAAAUGCAGGUUUGUCCAACUCUAAAGCUAAAAGUCUUAACCACUCCUUUGUGUAGCCUUACAGAUUUUUAUCCAGGAGGAGACCCUAAGGAUGAUCUACACCACCCUUCUUACUUUUCAGAAGUGGAAACUGAAGUCCAAAGAAGUCAAGGCCAGGCUCUGAUCCCCAGUGCUCCGUGUCAGACAUCGUCUUAGAUACCCAGGAAACGGUGGACAGUACAGCCAUGACCUCCGCCCUCCUGAGAUUCACAUUCGAAUAAAGGAGGCAGCCCCUGAAGAGACUAACCCCCAAACAGCAUGCCGAUGAACUGUGAGGAUAUGGAGGAAAAGAGGACGGUGCCGUGGUGUCUUGGAACCUCUCUGUCCUCCCGUUUUCUCCUUGGUAAAAGGUAAGGAGCAUCAUCUCGGGCCUGAGGUCUCAAGAGGAUGCUAUUGCCAUGAAAUGUGGGCAUCGUGAAGGCAUUCGAAAAAGGUAAGACGUCUACAAUAAUGUGUGUCAGUGGUUCACCAACACCUGGAAACUUAUUUGAAAUGCAUAUUCUCAGGUCCCUCCCUGACCUGCUCCAUCAGAAACUCUGGAGGUGGGCCCAGCGAUCCAUGUUUCAGCAGAUCCUGCGGAGGACGGCAAUGUGUACUGCACUUGAGAAGCAGCGUAUCCCAAAGCACCUCCACUGUGGUUCCCAGAAGACAGCCAGCACCAGGGCUCAGUACAGGCACUACUCUCUUCCAGGGGUGAUCAGAGGUCCUCUCUUGCUUACCUAGACUGCCCUCUGGGUUAGGGUUCCCCCAUCAGGAUGCUUUAAAGAUCAGCCUAACUUUCAGGACCCAACUGGUUGGCCCCAUCAGCACAAAAUCCCAAAUUUUUACGUAUUGUAGGAAGGGAGUGAGUCAUGUUGGAGUUGUUUAACAAAAGUUUAUGGAGGGGCGCCUGGGUGGCUCAGUUGUUAAAGGUCUGCCUUCGGCUCAGGUCAUGAUCCCAGCUUCCUGGGAUUGAGCUCCGCAUCGGGCUCCGUGCUCCACGGGGAGCCUGCUUCUCCCUCUCCCACUCCCCCUGCUUGUGUUCCCUCUCUCGCUGUGUCUCUCUCUGUAAAAUAAAUAAAUAAAAUCUUUAAA